CACCGGCACCUCAAGUGGUAGCCACUAUUAUUGGGCCUGAAGCAUCCGUAGCCUGUUCUAUAGGUUUCCGGUUAAAUCCAUACGCUCAACGUAUGGGCUGCCGGAAAUACUGCAGAACUAGGGAGUGGGAGAGGUAGACGGUACUCGAUAGGAAGAGGUAAAAUUCUUUGAUCUAUUGAUGACCACCUGUGGCGAAGGCGGUCUACCAGAACACGUUCGACGGUGAGGGAUGAAAGCUGGGGGAGCAAACCGG
Molecule: ribosomal RNA, 253 nt
Filed under: uncultured archaeon
Lineage: Archaea
Description: partial 16S ribosomal RNA
Rfam family: Archaeal small subunit ribosomal RNA
Source: RNAcentral